AGUGAACGCUGGCGGUAGGCCUAACACAUGCAAGUCGAACGGCAGCACAGUAAGAGCUUGCUCUUACGGGUGGCGAGUGGCGGACGGGUGAGGAAUACAUCGGAAUCUACUUUUUCGUGGGGGAUAACGUAGGGAAACUUACGCUAAUACCGCAUACGACCUACGGGUGAAAGCAGGGGAUCUUCGGACCUUGCGCGAUUGAAUGAGCCGAUGUCGGAUUAGCUAGUUGGCGGGGUAAAGGCCCACCAAGGCGACGAUCCGUAGCUGGUCUGAGAGGAUGAUCAGCCACGCUGGGACGGGGACACGGUCCAGACCCCUACGGGAGGCAGCAGUGGGGAAUAUUGGCCAAUGGGCGCAAGCCUGAUCCAGCCAUACCGCGUGGGUGAAGAAGGCCUUCGGGUUGUAAAGCCCUUUUGUUGGGAAAGAAAAGCAGCAGGUUAAUACCCCGCUGUUCUGACGGUACCCAAAGAAUAAGCACCGGCUAACUUCGUGC
RNAcentral lists this ribosomal RNA (493 nucleotides) under uncultured bacterium. RNAcentral describes it as "partial 16S ribosomal RNA". It matches the Rfam family "Bacterial small subunit ribosomal RNA", at positions 29 to 508 of the family's 1533-position model. The record is from RNAcentral.